RNAcentral lists this ribosomal RNA (224 nucleotides) under uncultured bacterium. RNAcentral's name for it is "partial 16S ribosomal RNA". It matches the Rfam family "Bacterial small subunit ribosomal RNA", at positions 524 to 746 of the family's 1533-position model. The record is from RNAcentral.
UACGUAGGGUGCAAGCGUUGUCCGGAAUUAUUGGGCGUAAAGAGCUCGUAGGCGGUCUGUCGCGUCUGCUGUGAAAAUCCGAGGCUCAACCUCGGACUUGCAGUGGGUACGGGCAGACUAGAGUGUGGUAGGGGAGACUGGAAUUCCUGGUGUAGCGGUGGAAUGCGCAGAUAUCAGGAGGAACACCGAUGGCGAAGGCAGGUCUCUGGGCCAAUUACUGACAC